Cyprinus carpio (common carp) is the source of this 231-nucleotide long non-coding RNA. The record is from Ensembl. NCBI's taxonomy places the organism in Eukaryota, Metazoa, Chordata, Actinopteri, Cypriniformes, Cyprinidae.
AUCAACAUGAACGAGCAGAAAGCGAGAAAUGGAAAGAGUCUGUCAGCACCCACUCAGUGUUAAUUCCUCAUCAUUCAACUCCAACAGAAACACCACAGCAGCUCCGGAUGGACCCCAUGUGGGCAGUAUUGGUUCUGUAUCCCACAAUGCAUCAGCUUUAACCACCUACAGUUAGACAGUAAGUGUCCAUCCAAACCUUCCUGUGGGAUACUACAGGCAUCCAUGUGGCCA